GACAGAGGGUGCAAACGUUGUUCGGAAUUACUGGGCGUAAAGCGUGUGUAGGCGGUCUGCUAAGUCGGGUGUGAAAGCCCCGGGCUCAACCCGGGAAGUGCACUCGAAACUGGCAGGCUAGAGUACUGGAGAGGUUGGUGGAAUUCUCGGUGUAGAGGUGAAAUUCGUAGAUAUCGAGAGGAACACCGGUGGCGAAGGCGGCCAACUGGACAGAUACUGACGCUGAGACACGAAAGCGUGGGGAGCAAACAGG
This 253-nucleotide ribosomal RNA is filed under the name uncultured bacterium. RNAcentral's name for it is "partial 16S ribosomal RNA". It matches the Rfam family "Bacterial small subunit ribosomal RNA", at positions 524 to 776 of the family's 1533-position model. The record is from RNAcentral.